Sipha flava (yellow sugarcane aphid) is the source of this 1093-nucleotide long non-coding RNA. RefSeq lists it as uncharacterized. Lineage: Eukaryota; Metazoa; Arthropoda; Insecta; Hemiptera; Aphididae. The record is from RefSeq and is a predicted model, not a curated record. The transcript has 6 exons.
AAUCAACGGUUAUGUUUGACCGAUUUGAAAUCAAAAAAUAUUAUUGUAUAGAGUUGUUCAACGUGUCCGAAGUAGUGCUAUGAAAGUUUUCUAUUUUAUUUCAUUGUCAAACCACAUUCGACCCGAUAUAAACGCGUUAUUCGGCGAAUAACCGGACUUCCUAGCGUCGUCGUCGCCGUCGUCGUUGAACAGUUUAUCCGCUCGGUUGCGUUUUCUUUCAAGUUUUCCCGGAGUGUUUGAUGUUUCCACGCUCUCGAACUACGGUACAGCGGGGGCGCUUGUCCUUUUGCCCGGUUAAGAGGUUGCGGACAAAACGGAUUCCGAUCUCUUCGUCGCCCCCGUUUGUGUUCGUUGUACUUUCUGCAAAUAAAUAACGCAAUUGUACGAGCUAAACUGCAGCCAGCGUGGAAAGAAAUCCGAAUAAUCAGGUACUGCACAGAGUCGUGCGAUCACCUGCAAGCCUUCAACUCAUCAACGACUAACCGUAAGCGCGACUCGCGUUCGUAAUCGUGUGUACCGUGGGCCGAUGGUGAUGCGACGGCAGUACACGUUAAGGCUAUCGACUUUGGGCGCACGCCGGAUCGCGGCCGUUACGAGUCGAUGAACGGAACACACGCAGUCGGAACCGCAUGGACGAUCACGGCACCUGACCGCCAGGAGACGAUAUGGUAUUGGAAGUAGCGUAAGGCCACAGGAUAGAGAACUUCGGUCGACAUCAAGCAAAUAACCCGACUUUGUGAUGGUGAUAUAAAUCUGUAGAGUAGGACGCUGCCACAGUCACAAAUCGCCAAUAGAAAAUGAAUUAUGGCGUAUCCGAGGCUUCGUCAUUACAGGACGAUGACGGCCAUAUGUUUCGUGUGCAACCUGCCGAUCCUCAGCCACCAGGUGGGCCUGGUGUGGCAAGGCGGCAACGGCUGGGACGACAUACUCCGCGAGCAGAUGGAGGAGACGACGCUCAAGCAGCGGCUGGGCGGGCGACGGGACUCGGCCGCGCAGAUCACCACCGAGUCGCCGCCGACGGAGACGGCGGAGACGUCGCCGCCGGUGAGCCGGCGCAGGAGGCGCAGCUCGCUGGCGCAGCUCACCGACAGAC